This 1412-nucleotide ribosomal RNA is filed under the name Escherichia coli HVH 143 (4-5674999). RNAcentral describes it as "bacterial LSU rRNA". It matches the Rfam family "Bacterial large subunit ribosomal RNA", at positions 1539 to 2925 of the family's 2925-position model. Lineage: Bacteria; Pseudomonadati; Pseudomonadota; Gammaproteobacteria; Enterobacterales; Enterobacteriaceae. The record is from RNAcentral.
AAUCCGGAAAACCAAGGCUGAGGCGUGAUGACGAGGCACUACGGUGCUGAAGCGACAAAUGCCCUGCUUCCAGGAAAAGCCUCUAAGCAUCAGGUAACAUCAAAUCGUACCCCAAACCGACACAGGUGGUCAGGUAGAGAAUACCAAGGCGCUUGAGAGAACUCGGGUGAAGGAACUAGGCAAAAUGGUGCCGUAACUUCGGGAGAAGGCACGCUGAUAUGUAGGUGAAGCGACUUGCUCGUGGAGCUGAAAUCAGUCGAAGAUACCAGCUGGCUGCAACUGUUUAUUAAAAACACAGCACUGUGCAAACACGAAAGUGGACGUAUACGGUGUGACGCCUGCCCGGUGCCGGAAGGUUAAUUGAUGGGGUUAGCGGCAACGCGAAGCUCUUGAUCGAAGCCCCGGUAAACGGCGGCCGUAACUAUAACGGUCCUAAGGUAGCGAAAUUCCUUGUCGGGUAAGUUCCGACCUGCACGAAUGGCGUAAUGAUGGCCAGGCUGUCUCCACCCGAGACUCAGUGAAAUUGAACUCGCUGUGAAGAUGCAGUGUACCCGCGGCAAGACGGAAAGACCCCGUGAACCUUUACUAUAGCUUGACACUGAACAUUGAGCCUUGAUGUGUAGGAUAGGUGGGAGGCUUUGAAGUGUGGACGCCAGUCUGCAUGGAGCCGACCUUGAAAUACCACCCUUUAAUGUUUGAUGUUCUAACGUUGGCCCGUAAUCCGGGUUGCGGACAGUGUCUGGUGGGUAGUUUGACUGGGGCGGUCUCCUCCUAAAGAGUAACGGAGGAGCACGAAGGUUGGCUAAUCCUGGUCGGACAUCAGGAGGUUAGUGCAAUGGCAUAAGCCAGCUUGACUGCGAGCGUGACGGCGCGAGCAGGUGCGAAAGCAGGUCAUAGUGAUCCGGUGGUUCUGAAUGGAAGGGCCAUCGCUCAACGGAUAAAAGGUACUCCGGGGAUAACAGGCUGAUACCGCCCAAGAGUUCAUAUCGACGGCGGUGUUUGGCACCUCGAUGUCGGCUCAUCACAUCCUGGGGCUGAAGUAGGUCCCAAGGGUAUGGCUGUUCGCCAUUUAAAGUGGUACGCGAGCUGGGUUUAGAACGUCGUGAGACAGUUCGGUCCCUAUCUGCCGUGGGCGCUGGAGAACUGAGGGGGGCUGCUCCUAGUACGAGAGGACCGGAGUGGACGCAUCACUGGUGUUCGGGUUGUCAUGCCAAUGGCACUGCCCGGUAGCUAAAUGCGGAAGAGAUAAGUGCUGAAAGCAUCUAAGCACGAAACUUGCCCCGAGAUGAGUUCUCCCUGACUCCUUGAGAGUCCUGAAGGAACGUUGAAGACGACGACGUUGAUAGGCCGGGUGUGUAAGCGCAGCGAUGCGUUGAGCUAACCGGUACUAAUGAACCGUGAGGCUUAACCUU